Trichoplusia ni (cabbage looper) is the source of this 915-nucleotide long non-coding RNA. RefSeq lists it as uncharacterized. The record is from RefSeq and is a predicted model, not a curated record. The transcript is spliced from 2 exons. Lineage: Eukaryota; Metazoa; Arthropoda; Insecta; Lepidoptera; Noctuidae.
UUAAAUUAUCUAUAAUUCCAAAUAUUUGUCUGAAAUCGCAAACCUGAGGGGACCUAGGUUCUUUAUCAAUGCUCAAACCUUCUCUAUACGGGAAAAGGCCCAGCUGUGGGAAGAAUAGGGCUCAUAUUAUUAUAAUUAUGUUUCAACUUUAGUUUUUUAACCUUGAAAAAUAAAUAUGACUACAAAUAUCCGAAAUCAUUGAAGUGCCAAAGUUUUCAAACUUGUUUUAUCUAACGCCCACUCUGAAAAUAUUUCUAUAAAUCAAUUAUUUUGUCAAACGUUUUUUUUAAACUUGCUUGCUAUCCUCCGACAGAUUAUAGGAUGUUUUUAGUUUUACUACGUUUUUUGUGUUUUUUCUUCGGUACAAUGCAAGCUUAAAACAUUAAAGCAAGCUCAUCAGAUUUCCUUCCCCGAAAACCUAGCUAAUCUGAGGUGGGUGAAUCACACAAACAUCCUACGACCAGCUAUGACUACAAAUCCAUAAGGCCUAUUCCCUAAUCUUAGCAAAAAACCCUGAAUCGACGAACUCCUCCCUUCUCACGCUGGUGACGUACAUGGUUUUCCUUAUUUUAGACGUAUAUAAGUCAGUAAUGACAAUUGAAUAUUAACACUUGACAAUCAUUCUUGUUGGAAGAAAGUAACCAUAACACCACUCCACCAUGAAACUGUUGAACUUGUUGGUAGUCGUGAUGGCUGUCCUGGCGCUCUUCAUGGGAGGAGCCAGCGCUCAUCCUAAGGGCAUCGGGAAAGCGAUCAAGAAGGGAGGGAAAUUUAUUAAACACGGCCUGAGCGUUAUCGGUGUGGUUGGAACCGGACACGAGAUAUACCAACAGUCAAAACAAUAGAAAUAAUGUCAUCUACUAUUUAUUAUUUUAUACAUAUCAGUAUUAUAAUUAAAUAAAUAAUUAUUCUGAA